This 400-nucleotide ribosomal RNA is filed under the name uncultured bacterium. Its description in RNAcentral is "bacterial SSU rRNA". It matches the Rfam family "Bacterial small subunit ribosomal RNA", at positions 355 to 746 of the family's 1533-position model. The record is from RNAcentral.
UGAGGAAUAUUGCGCAAUGGGGGCAACCCUGACGCAGCGACGCCGCGUGGGUGAGGAAGGCCUUCGGGUCGUAAAGCCCUGUUGUAGGGGAAGAAUGGGUAUAUUUCGAAUAGGGAUGUACCGUGACGGUACCCUGCGAGGAAGCACCGGCUAACUCCGUGCCAGCAGCCGCGGUAAUACGGAGGGUGCGAGCGUUGUUCGGAAUCACUGGGCGUAAAGGGCGCGCAGGCGGUUGUAUAAGUCAGGUGUGAAAGUCCCGGGCUUAACCUGGGGAGUGCACAUGAUACUGUACGACUUGAGUACUGGAGGGGGAGGUGGAAUUCCCGGUGUAGAGGUGAAAUUCGUAGAUAUCGGGAGGAAUACCGGUGGCGAAAGCGACCUCCUGGCCAGAGACUGACGC